UGAGUAACACGUGGAUAACCUACCUAUAAGACUGGGAUAACUUAGGGAAACCGGAGCUAAUACCGGAUAAUAUUUUGAACCGCAUGGUUCAAAAGUGAAAGACGGUCUUGCUGUCACUUAUAGAUGGAUCCGCGCUGCAUUAGCUAGUUGGUAAGGUAACGGCUUACCUAGGCAACGAUGCAUAGCCGACCUGAGAGGGUGAUCGGCCACACUGGAACUGAGACACGGUCCAG
RNAcentral lists this ribosomal RNA (233 nucleotides) under uncultured Staphylococcus sp. RNAcentral's name for it is "partial 16S ribosomal RNA". It matches the Rfam family "Bacterial small subunit ribosomal RNA", at positions 107 to 334 of the family's 1533-position model. The record is from RNAcentral. Lineage: Bacteria; Bacillati; Bacillota; Bacilli; Caryophanales; Staphylococcaceae.